Molecule: ribosomal RNA, 455 nt
Filed under: uncultured bacterium
Lineage: Bacteria
Description: bacterial SSU rRNA
Rfam family: Bacterial small subunit ribosomal RNA
Source: RNAcentral
GGAAACGCACAACCGGCGUCCCAUGUGGUUUAAUUCGAAACGAAACGAAGAACCUUACCUAGGUUUGACAUCCCGAUCGUACGUCUUGGAAACAAGAUGGUCAGUUCGGCUGGAUCGGUGACAGCUGCUGCAUGGUUGUCGUCAGCUCGUGUCGUGAGGCGUCCUUUUAAGUAAGGUAACGAGCGCAACCCCUGUCGUAUGUUAAAUGUUCAUGCGAGACUGCCUUGGUGCAACCAAGGAGGAAGGAGGGGACGACGUCAAAUCAGCAUGGCGCUUACAUCUAGGGCUACACACAUGGGGUAAUGGCGAAUACAACGGGUCGCGAGGGAGUAAUCCGGAGCUAAUCCUUUAAAAUUCGCCUCAGUUCGGAUUGUGGGCUGCAAUUCGCCCACAUGAAGGGGAGUCGGUAGUAAUCGCAGGUCAGCUAUACUGCGGUGAAUACGUUCUCGUUUCUU